GCCUCGGUGGUGUAGUGCUAGAACACGCGUCUCUAGAUAGGAUGAAACGCUGGUUUGAUUCCCGCCUGAGGCU
Parelaphostrongylus tenuis is the source of this 73-nucleotide non-coding RNA. The record is from the annotation of a GenBank genome assembly. Lineage: Eukaryota; Metazoa; Nematoda; Chromadorea; Rhabditida; Metastrongylidae.